RNAcentral lists this ribosomal RNA (373 nucleotides) under uncultured organism. Its description in RNAcentral is "partial 16S ribosomal RNA". It matches the Rfam family "Bacterial small subunit ribosomal RNA", at positions 527 to 896 of the family's 1533-position model. The record is from RNAcentral.
GUAGGUGGCAAGCGUUGUCCGGAAUUAUUGGGCGUAAAGCGCGCGCAGGCGGUCCUUUAAGUCUGAUGUGAAAGCCCACGGCUCAACCGUGGAGGGUCAUUGGAAACUGGGGGACUUGAGUACAGAAGAGGAAAGCGGAAUUCCACGUGUAGCGGUGAAAUGCGUAGAGAUGUGGAGGAACACCAGUGGCGAAGGCGGCUUUCUGGUCUGUAACUGACGCUGAGGCGCGAAAGCGUGGGGAGCAGACAGGGAUUAGAUACCCUGGUAGUCCACGCCGUAAACGAUGAGUGCUAAGUGUUAGGGGGUUUCCCGCCCCUUAGUGCUGCAGCUAACGCAUUAAGCACUCCGCCUGGGGAGUACGGCCGCAAGGCUG